RNAcentral lists this ribosomal RNA (451 nucleotides) under uncultured bacterium. RNAcentral describes it as "partial 16S ribosomal RNA". It matches the Rfam family "Bacterial small subunit ribosomal RNA", at positions 29 to 523 of the family's 1533-position model. The record is from RNAcentral.
AACGAACGCUGGCGGCAGGCUUAACACAUGCAAGUCGAACAGGUGUAGCAAUACAUCAGUGGCAGACGGGUGAGUAACACGUGGGAACCUUCCUUGAGGUACGGAACAACGCAGGGAAACUUGUGCUAAUACCGUAUACGCUCUUGCGAGGAAAGAUUUAUCGCCUUUAGACGGGCCCGCGUAGGAUUAGGUAGUUGGUGAGGUAACGGCUCACCAAGCCUACGAUCCUUAGCUGAUCUGAGAGGAUGAUCAGCCACACUGGGACUGAGACACGGCCCAGACUCCUACGGGAGGCAGCAGUGGGGAAUCUUGGACAAUGGGCGCAAGCCUGAUCCAGCCAUGCCGCGUGAGUGAAGAAGGCCUUCGGGUUGUAAAGCUCUUUUGUCAGGGACGAUAAUGACGGUACCUGAAGAAUAAGCCCCGGCAAACUUCGUGCCAGCAGCCGCGGUAA